RNAcentral lists this ribosomal RNA (252 nucleotides) under uncultured bacterium. RNAcentral describes it as "partial 16S ribosomal RNA". It matches the Rfam family "Bacterial small subunit ribosomal RNA", at positions 524 to 775 of the family's 1533-position model. The record is from RNAcentral.
UACGUAGGGGGCAAGCGUUGUCCGGAGUUACUGGGCGUAAAGCGCACGCAGGCGGUUCUUUCAGUUCAAAGUGACAGUCGUCGGCUUCACUGACGAAGGACUAGGAAGACGGGAGAACUUGAGGGUCUCAGAGGAAAGCGGAAUUCCGGGUGGAGUGGUGAAAUGCGUAGAUAUCCGGAGGAACACCGAUGGCGUAGGCAGCUUUCUGGGAGACAUCUGACGCUCAGGGACGAAAGCUAGGGGAGCAAACGG